Long non-coding RNA from Anabas testudineus (climbing perch), 2141 nucleotides. NCBI's taxonomy places the organism in Eukaryota, Metazoa, Chordata, Actinopteri, Anabantiformes, Anabantidae. The record is from Ensembl.
UGUCUUUUUCUUCUAUUCUUGAGACGAGAUGGCCAAAAGGAAGGGAAGGUUCAACAGCAGUGGUAAGAUAGAUGCUCCUGUGCUAGAAUUAAGCUAAUACAGCUGUUGAAUGAAAAAUACAACUGUGUGAUUUUCAAACAGCAAAUUAAGUGACAGGUUCAGUUUGGCAUUCAUACUUUAUUUUUAAUAAGCUCAUUGAUGCCCUCCCCUUUUGAUCGACUUGAUCCUUAUGUUUUGAGAAGGUGGAGCUCCACCCCAGCCUCGGUCACUCAGGUCAAGGAAGAGGGAAUGUCCAUGUGACGACAUCACCCUGACUGUGGAUGUUGAAGCGGCUCUCCAUCAACAGGACACUGAAGGAAAUAACACGGCAGUACUCAUUGCACCACCACAGUAUCUCCAGUCCCCUGUGCAGGAAUGUGCAAUUGUUACAAAUCAACUGGAUCAGCUGGCAGAGCAGUCCUAUCUUCCCAAACAAGGUGACUCCACUGAAGAACAACAUGCAGAAAAAACUGUGAAAUCUUGUGAAGGGCAAGAAGAGCAUCCUGCCACCACCAUCAACAAUGAUUCUCAGCUGCAGAGCUUUAUAAUACAUCCUAAAAAUGAUACCAACAAGGGUGGAAAGAAGGAAAUAGAUCUGCAAGACAUUACCAGAUCAUCAUCUGAUCAACAUGGGGUGUUAAGCUCUGAAGAGGUUGACGCGGCCUGUGCAGCUGGUUUAGAGGAACAACGGGAUGCAAAGAAAAACUCCCAGUGUAAUUUGGGGAAAAAUCAUGAAACCAACCAAGAAGAACAAAGCAACAUGUGUAUGGCUGAUGUUGAGGAAGUCACAAAGGAGUCAACAGUGGGAUUACCAGCCAGAAAGAAGCGAAGAAUGGGUAUGUGUGGUCUGACGGAGAAGGAGAGGAGUCAUUUUUUACAGACACAAAAGCGAGAAAAUGGGCAGAAUGGAGCAGAGAGGAUCGAGAAGCAGCCAUGUCAUAACACAGCUGACGUUGAGGCUAAAAAAGGGAUUAUAUCCACAGCCCUCUCGUUUUCCUCAGCUCUGUCCCACCCAGUAGACAGUGUCACAUUUCAGGACAAGACAGAGAUAAAAUUACAGUCCAGUCACUGCGGAAGAGAAAACAGGGCAGAAACCGAAGUCUGCACCACUCCCACAACAUCAGAUAGGACCAGUGCUUCGUGUUGCACAGAGGGAAAGAGCAGUGAGGCCGAAGGAGCCGCAGCACCUGAUCCAGAACAGACUGAUGAGCCAAAGUCAAAUCAACCUACAGAGGAGAAAGAAGAGGGGUAUUUGGAGAAUGAAAAGCAACCGAAACCCGAGGAAAGUACAGGUGAAACACCUGUGAAACAAAGAAAAGAUGGUGAUGCUGGAGUAGACUGUAGUCCCGUAUUCACUUUUGACACUAGUCUAUCUCAUGAUGAAGAGAUUGAGAAAAAGAAAGAUGGGAGUGAGGCACCACCUCUGCAGGUGCAGAGCGUGACCAGGACAAGAGAUGAGAUGACGGGUGACACCCAAGCUGAAGCUGAUUCUGCCUCCACAGACACCAGGCCAGGAGGAUUCAACUGUGGCUGUGUGGAGCCCUGUGAGGCUACAGUGACACCUAGUAACUCAGAGAGGAAAGACAGCCCUACUCCAGAUGUUGAACCUGCUGCUGGUUCCACCACUGUAAACAGCGAGCAGACUCACACUAGAGACAUCACUGCGUACUUGGAUUAUGUAUCAGACUCGCAGUUGAACUCCAUUCCUCUGAUUGAGGAGGCGACGAUGGCGAGAGAGGAAGAUCCUGGUUUCUCAUACUGUCGUGAAGAUGCCACAAACCUGAUCUGUGGGCUCAUCACAGAACUCUCCUCGCUCAAUCGAAAGGUUAUGGCCACACACAGGGAGCUGGAGAACCUGCGUCGGGGUAAUAAAACGUCAAGAAGCUCCAUACGUUGAAGAUUUGGAUCCCAAACCUGAGUUUAUGGUGUGCCACCAAUUUGAAUAUUUCUCUUUGACUCCAAUUUCACUUUUCUUGCACCAGUGACAGCUGGAGAGUUCGGUGUGACCACUCGGAUGUUCUAGGUCCUCCUCAAUAAAGCUUGUUGUUACUGUUUAAGUCAGUUGUGUUAUUAGCUUCAUUAGAUGCAAACCUGCCCUUCCU